UCGGGAUAGCUCAGUUG
RNAcentral lists this transfer RNA (17 nucleotides) under Hemerocallis minor. RNAcentral's name for it is "partial tRNA-Phe". The record is from RNAcentral. RNAcentral also lists the same sequence under 2 other names. Lineage: Eukaryota; Viridiplantae; Streptophyta; Magnoliopsida; Asparagales; Asphodelaceae.